RNAcentral lists this ribosomal RNA (292 nucleotides) under uncultured bacterium. RNAcentral's name for it is "partial 16S ribosomal RNA". It matches the Rfam family "Bacterial small subunit ribosomal RNA", at positions 505 to 796 of the family's 1533-position model. The record is from RNAcentral.
GUGCCAGCAGCCGCGGUAAUACGGAGGAUGCAAGCGUUAUCCGGAAUGAUUGGGCGUAAAGAGUCCGUAGGUGGCUUUUCAAGUCUAUUGUUAAAGCGCGAGGCUUAACCUCGUGAAGGCCGUAGAAACUGAAAAGCUUGAGAGCAGUAGGGGCAGAAGGAAUUCCUGGUGUAGCGGUGAAAUGCGUAGAGAUCAGGAAGAACACCGGUGGCGAAAGCGUUCUGCUGGGCUGCAACUGACACUGAGGGACGAAAGCUAGGGGAGCGAAUGGGAUUAGAUACCCUGGUAGUCC